CCCAAAGCACUCUGAGCCUAAGGACAAGUCAGAGAGACUCAGUGAAGAAGUGUGUUGCGACUUGUGCAGUGGAGAGGUAGCAGAAUUCAGCAUUGAUCGUCGUGGUAUUUUCCUACCAAGUUCCUCUGCCAAGGUGAAGAGAUGCUUUUUUCUGGAUGAAGUUACUAGAGACACUGU
Molecule: long non-coding RNA, 177 nt
Filed under: Mustela putorius furo (domestic ferret)
Lineage: Eukaryota; Metazoa; Chordata; Mammalia; Carnivora; Mustelidae
Description: lncRNA (ENSMPUG00000024110.1)
Source: RNAcentral